Molecule: long non-coding RNA, 609 nt
Filed under: Elaeis guineensis (African oil palm)
Lineage: Eukaryota; Viridiplantae; Streptophyta; Magnoliopsida; Arecales; Arecaceae
Description: long non-coding RNA (EGUI_LNC038934)
Source: RNAcentral
CAUGAACAAUCACUCUGUGAAUCUGAAUGAAGCUUGAAUCGCGAUCAACUCUUUGAUCCUUUUCUUGAUCUUUUUCUUCUCUUCUUUUCUUGUUCUCCUUUUUUUGAUUAUGAAGCAACCAAGAUAUGAAAACCAACCACCAAGUGGGAUGCCUAAGCUCUUUUUGGGCAUGGAGAUGGAGGAUGCCCAAAGGGGAACUAGAAGAGAGAAGAGAAUUAGGCGUGGAGAGACUUUUGGGAGGCAUGGGGCUGCUAGAAAUCUGAUGCUUAGAGCCUUAGAAAAAGAUCCUUUAAAUAAGUAAAGGUUUAAAUCCUAUUCAAAAUCAAAUAGCCCCUUAAUACAAGUCCUACUUACAUUAGGAAUCCUUGUAGCCUUAGAUAUUGGAUCCUUUUUAGGAGAUCCAUGAGGCGCCAACUAUUGGAGCCUUUUCACACACUUUCUCACACACCACAUGGGGCUUAAGGGAUGCCCCAUGCUGGUCCCAUAUGCCCUCUAUCAUAUGGGUACGUCCAACUUGAUCAAAUCAAGUGGCGCCCCAAUGCAAACAAUCAAAAAAAUUGAUUAAGGAUUUGAACCCUUAAUGCAUAUGAUCCAAAAUCCUAGGCACCC